GACGAACGCUGGCGGCGUGCUUAACACAUGCAAGUCGAACGGUGAAGCGCCUUCCUUUUUGGUGGGUGUGGAUGAGUGGCGAACGGGUGAGUAACACGUGAGUAACCUGCCCUCUUCUUCUGGAUAACCGCAUGAAAGUGUGGCUAAUACGGGAUAUUCUGGGUCUGUGGCAUGAUGGGUCUGGGAAAGCUUUUGUUUCGGUGGGGGAUGGGCUCGCGGCUUAUCAGGUUGUUGGUGGGGUGAUGGCCUACCAAGGCGGUGACGGGUAGCGGGCCUGAGAGGGUGGGCCGAAACACAAGUACGACACGGUGCCGCAGCCUCCGACAGGCAGCAGCAGUGAAUAUUAGAGCACGGGGGGCAGAAUCAUGAUGCAGCGACGCCUCGGUGGGGAUGGAGUUCUGCUUGUUGAGAACCUCUUUCGGGAGAGAAGCGGGCCUGCCUCGUUUGUGGGUGUGUUGACGGUAGCUAGAGAAGAAGCGCCGGCUAACUACGUG
RNAcentral lists this ribosomal RNA (494 nucleotides) under uncultured bacterium. RNAcentral describes it as "partial 16S ribosomal RNA". It matches the Rfam family "Bacterial small subunit ribosomal RNA", at positions 28 to 507 of the family's 1533-position model. The record is from RNAcentral.